Molecule: ribosomal RNA, 484 nt
Filed under: uncultured bacterium
Lineage: Bacteria
Description: partial 16S ribosomal RNA
Rfam family: Bacterial small subunit ribosomal RNA
Source: RNAcentral
AUUGAACGCUGGCGGCAGGCCUAACACAUGCAAGUCGAGCGGAUGAAGGGAGCUUGCUCCUGGAUUCAGCGGCGGACGGGCGAGUAAUGCCUAGGAAUCUGCCCGGUAGUGGGGGAUAACGUCCGGAAACGGGCGCUAAUACCGCAUACGUCCUGAUGGAGAAAGGGGGGGAUCUUCGGACCUCACGCUAUUAGAUGAGCCUAGGUCGGAUUAGCUAGUUGGUGGGGUAAAGGCCUACCAAGGCGACGAUCCGUAACUGGUCUGAGAGGAUGAUCAGUCACACUGGAACUGAGACACGGUCCAGACUCCUACGGGAGGCAGCAGUGGGGAAUAUUGGACAAUGGGCGAAAGCCUGAUCCAGCCAUGCCGCGUGUGUGAAGAAGGUCUUCGGAUCGUAAAGCACUUUAAGUUGGGAGGAAGGGCAGUAAGUUAAUACCUGGCUGUUUUGACGUUACCAACAGAAUAAGCACCGGCUAACUUCGUG